This 253-nucleotide ribosomal RNA is filed under the name uncultured bacterium. Its description in RNAcentral is "partial 16S ribosomal RNA". It matches the Rfam family "Bacterial small subunit ribosomal RNA", at positions 524 to 776 of the family's 1533-position model. The record is from RNAcentral.
UACGUAGGGAGCAAGCGUUAUCCGGAUUUAUUGGGUGUAAAGGGAACGCAGGCGGUCUUUUAAGUCUGAUGUGAAAGCCUUCGGCUUAACCGGAGUAGUGCAUUGGAAACUGGGAGACUUGAGUGCAGAAGAGGAGAGUGGAACUCCAUGUGUAGCGGUGAAAUGCGUAGAUAUAUGGAAGAACACCAGUGGCGAAAGCGGCUCUCUGGUCUGUAACUGACGCUGAGGUUCGAAAGCGUGGGUAGCAAACAGG